This 301-nucleotide ribosomal RNA is filed under the name uncultured bacterium. RNAcentral describes it as "partial 16S ribosomal RNA". It matches the Rfam family "Bacterial small subunit ribosomal RNA", at positions 509 to 807 of the family's 1533-position model. The record is from RNAcentral.
CAGUCGCCACGGUAAUACGUAGGGUGCAAGCGUUAAUCGGAAUUACUGGGCGUAAAGCGUGCGCAGGCGGUUCGUUAAGACAGAUGUGAAAUCCCCGGGCUUAACCUGGGAACUGCAUUUGUGACUGGCGGGUUAGAGUAUGGCAGAGGGGGGUAGAAUUCCACGUGUAGCAGUGAAAUGCGUAGAUAUGUGGAGGAAUACCGAUGGCGAAGGCAGCCCCCUGGGAUAACACUGACGCUCAUGCACGAAAGCGUGGGGAGCAAACAGGAUUAGAUACCCCAGUAGUCCCUGUCUCUUAUAC